CCAAAUAACAUUUUGUAGCUUUAUUGAAUCUACAUUUCGACUAUAUUUUAGUCAUCAUCAGGACAGAUAUAUAGUCGAAACAUAGAUUCAAUAAAGCUACAAAAUGUUAUUUGGA
RNAcentral lists this microRNA precursor (115 nucleotides) under Paramuricea clavata. Lineage: Eukaryota; Metazoa; Cnidaria; Anthozoa; Malacalcyonacea; Plexauridae. The record is from RNAcentral.